Molecule: long non-coding RNA, 6444 nt
Organism: Gasterosteus aculeatus aculeatus (three-spined stickleback)
Lineage: Eukaryota; Metazoa; Chordata; Actinopteri; Perciformes; Gasterosteidae
Source: Ensembl
UUACAUGGGAAUGUAAUGAAGGUUAAUAAUGUCACUUUACUCAAACCUAAUUGGGCACAUGUGUGCUGGUAUCGUGGACACCGCUAACCUUGUUCGCCUUUGUUACAGCGCUUUUUCCCGUCGAGGUAGCGGGACUCAUAGUUAUUACUGCGCACUUAUCCUGCUUUUACAGCGGCUUAUAACUUGUGUGGACUGCACGUGUAAUGUAAACCACACGUCUCCUCUCCGUUGUGGCCUCAAUUUCUUUAAUUGUGUCUGCUAGUUGACGUGAUAUUUAUCGGCGUUGUAACGUUACUUCGCAUUGGACUGACGCGUACCACGUGUCCGGAAGUAAACAAGGAGACGCAUUUGCAAACACACGUUUAACGUGAAUGUCGCAAACAAAAUCGUACCGGUGGUACAUUGUCGCUAUUUUACACUCUUGUUGUUUUAUUUGGGGUUAAUAAAGUUGUAGUUCAGUCCGCGAACCAUCCGUGAGAGUGUCUGUGAGGGGAAUGACCUCCUCAUCUCCGACGUGAUGUCGCUAUCGCUUCUCGGCCUUUUGGCUAAGAUCAAGUGUAGUAUCUGUUCUUAUCAGUUUAAUAUCUGAUACGUCCCCUACCCGGGGACCAUAUAUUAAAUUGAUUUUUGGAAUAGGGAGAUGGAAUAGGGGCUUGCUCCGUCCACUCCACGCAUCGACCUGGUAUUGCAGUACCUCCAGGAACGGUGCACCCCCCAAAACUGUACAAUGUAAAAUACCAUGGCAGAAGAGUGCAUAGUGUGCUUGAUCAUAGUUUUCGGUAUCUCAUAAAGCAUCGAGAGAUAAAUCUCGCACCUCUGGAAUUUUGUAAAUAGCGUUUACGCACCUCAAAGUUCCCUGCGCCUUGUAUUCUUCCGUUGGAAUAAUCCGAAAUAAACUUGGUGUAAUUUUAAAACUGUUAAAACUAUGUUUCCUAUUGUUGAACAUAUAAACGCCGUAGUCUGAAUAAUUUUCAUCCGCGCUGUAUUAUGGUCUGACCAUCCAAUCAGUGCCUUGCGGCUGCAGCAGCGAGACAAUCAGGAUCCAGGAGGUAUUUAAACACAUACACGUUGUGGAUUAGCCUGCCUGCCUGUUCGGAAUGUGUAAUAUUCGUGUGCGUGCACUGACAUUUAAUUGUCUAAGUACGACACGUACCAGUGAGUUUCUUUUAGUCGGCGCUGUAUGCGUCCAUCUUUAUUAGUGCAUAUUUACUUCUGCGCAUAAACGCGCACCUUGAUGACCUCAUCACAACAUGACAGACAUUUGAACCGGAAGUAUCCAAGAUACUACAGAAUGGAUUACCGCCGGUAAUUAGCAAUGGAUAUCAGGCGAUAUUUGAAGAGACCAUCGAGUGCUCCCACUCCCACAGAUGCCCGCAAAAGGCCUCAAGUACAAAGUAAGACUUAAGAAGAUCAAUUCACGUUUUUAAACGUUGUUUUGGUUCGCACAACAUCGCAUUAAGACGGGGACAAACGCUAUUAAUAACAUGCUUUCAAAUACGAUGAUGCAGCCAGCCUUCCCGGUCCCAUCUAAAUAGGCCUAAUAAAAUGAGUAAUUAUCCUCAUGCAUAUUGCUGCAGAUUAGGCUAAUUCAUUGAAAAAUUGUCAACAGAUUAUGUGCAAGCCAGUUAGACAUAGCUAAGAGAAAUGCUAAGUGAAAUGUUUUAGUUUAGCUAUAGAAUCUUCAAAUUUCGCGGUCAAAGUCAAAUAUAUUAGUUUUUUACUUUCCUGAUGACAUCCUGUCCUGCUCUCGCAUAGAAAACGUGAGCGGGGAGCAAAGCUGUUGCUUCACUGAAUAGGCCUAUAUGCUUAAUCAAUUAUUUGAAGUCAUGAAAGGUGUAGAGUAGCCUGUAAGCGAAAUACAUUGUAAACAUAGAUUAUUUGAAAACAAGUCAGUUCUCAAUGUGAAAAAAAACAUGCUGUAUAGGCUAUUUAUGAUGACGUACAUGAGUGUUCCUUUAACUUAUGUUGUCAGUGUAAUUGACAGGCUGCUUAACUGGUGUUCUCAGCCCCACAACUCUUAAAUUUAACAUAUUUUUUCAGGCAAUGAUGCAGAGAGCACAGGGAGAGGCGAAACACCAGAUCGAAUAGAGAGAGGAUAAUGGCUGAUGAGAGAACAAAAUCAUGACAGUGGAGAACCAAAGAGUGGAGAAGAGGAAAGGGGAGGAAAUGAAAGAAGACCAACAGAGAAUGAAGAAACAGAGAAAGGGGAGACGGAGAAAGAUGAAAUAGAGGGAGUAAGAGAAGAAACGGGCUGGAGAGUGGAGAAUCUGAAUUAGAAUCUGAAGUAGAGGGAGAUACAGAGGAAGAAGAAUCUGAGACUGAAGACCGAGUGAGAGGAGAAAUAGAGAGCAGAUGCCACCCACAUAUCUGGACAGAUAACAUAAUGCAAUAUAGCCAGGACAGCCUUACAGAGUCUCAACGCUUUGUGUUGCGUUGCUUCGCAUCGCGUUGCAUCGCGUCGAGGUCUGUAUGAUCACAAAAUUCAGAGUUUACCCACCUCUAAUUUUACCACUACAGCACUGGCGAAAAGUGGUCGGUGGUAGGUUCUUCCGGUGGUCGGUGGACGGUUGCACCCUGGACAAACCGACCACUAGAAAUGGGUUAUUUAGCAUGCGCGGUCGAUACAUAUGUCCCUUUAUUUUUUUAGCAUUGGCAUGCGUCGCCAGCGCCCUACGCUGUGAACGGCAGCUCGCCACAACCUCGCCAGCGUCCUAUGAUGUGAACGGCAGGUCACAUGAACCGUCGCCACCUUCCUUCAUGAUGAAAUUGCACUUUUAUGUUCAUGAUGAAUUGAAGAGUAAGGCAAAUAGCAUUAAAUAGUAAAUAUUAGAGCAUGGUUACUGAAUGACAAACAAAAUUUGUUAUAUUUUACAACUGUGCGGAGUCUGUGAGUUUGGGGACCUAUGACUAUAUCCUCUGGAGUCGGGAGUGGGUCAGAUAUGGCAAUGUCCAGGUUUUUCUAAAAUGUUAUAUACACAUUACAAUUUUAAUCAAUGUAACUUCUAAAUUUAAAUAACUGCUGUCUCCCACUGUACUAGACUGCGGAAAGGAUUUUUAUGCCAAGGCUGGUCGGUCACCAGAAUCCUGAGACGGGAAACCACUUCAUCCUUUGAGUGACGAAACUUCACAGCACGUCAACAGAUACAGGCCAGGGUUAACAAACAACAAUAACCUAAUGAUAACGCAUAACUAACAAAUGUGAAGACUAAAGUAACAUUACCAGGAGCAAUCGUUUAUCAGUUUCUGUGGUAAUUUUUAGCAACAUGCAACAAAGUAUAAAUAUCUUCAAUUUGUAAAAAAAAAAUUGUGUUUAUAAAUUAAAAGAAAAGCAAUAUUCACUUCAGUGGAGUAACUUGAAUUGUUAGACAGGCGUGUUUAAAAUCAAUUUAAAAUGUAUUUGCAUAAGGUCAUCACUGGAUGACAUUUCUGUAACAAAAAUACUUUGGCUAAUACAGUUAUCAUUGUGCAUGCGGAAUACAUUCAUUAUUAUAUGGCAGAUUAUGGUAUUCUUCAUUCAUCAUUUCAUCACUGGUCCAAUAGGUACUUGACUUCAAAAAGGAGGAGAUAUGAGUGUAUGACUCUCUGAGGAUCAGCACCACCAUACCGGAUGAGGCCAUGAAUAUUCUGAGAAAUUUUUCAGGGAACAGGGAGGUCUUGCGGAAUGGAAUGUGUGUUUCACAAAACAAUGGAGGCAGAGAGACAACAAUAACUGCGCUAUUUUUGUGUGCUCAGCAGCUGAGAAUGAGGUGAAAAACCGAGAUGUCAUCCUCAACCAGUGCCAAACUCUCUCCAAGAUGAUAGCAGGGCUUAGCAUUGAGGUAUACAAGGUAUACAAGGAGACUGGACCACGAAAGACUUCCUUUGUGGGUGUCAUCGAGACCCUGGUACAUAUCUGGCAAAAGAGAUACUAGAGUCCACUCAGGUGGACAGUAUUUUAACGGAUCAAGAGAUUGAGGUAAUGACUUUACCUUUGUUCAUUUUGUUUUCUGGUCUAAAACAGAAUUUAUUUAUUGAUUAACUGCGGCAUGUUCGUUUAAGUAAGUUGUCUAUGACUGACAUACAUGUUUGACAAUGAUGACACUAUAAUUUAUUCAGAGUCUGGAGCAAGAUCUGAUGAAAAGAAACAUUCUGUCAAACAGAAUGUAUCUUUAUAAAAAUAAAGGGUGCGAUCGCAAUUUGGAGGCAUUCUAUGCUGACCACCUGUCAGUUUUCGAUGAUCUUAAGGUUAGAUUUACAUUAGCAUUUUAUUUUAAUAUGUGUACACUGUGAUGAAAAUUGGUGGAUAAUGUCCAAUCCUAUUUUAUUUUAAAGCAAUGGUGUUUCAUAGUAUCCAUAAAAUGCAAAUUCAAAGUCAACCUUGAUAUGAAUAAGUCUUUAAUAAAAUUUCAGACUGCACAACUAGCAGGAAUACUGAAAUACAUUGUGGGUAAAAAAGAGCCUGCAGUGGAUAGCGAUACCUAUAUCAAUCAUGUCAUCCUGCCAGAGGUAAGUUGAAACAAAACAAGUAAUAAUUCAAUAUAUUUUACCCAUGGAUUUAAUUACAUUAUGACAGAAUACAGCAUGACCUUAAAAAUGAACGGCAAAUUUAUUUCAGGUAAACAUUGAGUGGCUGAGGCAGAAAUUCUGCAUAUCCAGAUACGAAGCUGGAUGUAUUCUACUCAGCGUAACCAAGACUUAUGUAUAAGCAAAAUUUACCGCAUUAGUAACUGAGAAAUUAAGAUUGCAGUGACAAUUUAAUCAUUCCAAAGUCGUUCUUCUGUGAUGUUUUGGCAAUUAGCCGUAUGAAGAGGAAUUGUCAAACCUUCAUAAAAGAUGUUUCAGCCUUAUGACAUUUCACAUUAAUACAUUUAUACAUCUUUAUAUUUAAAAAUACAUUUUUAAUUAGAACACCUGCAUAUACAUGAAAAGGCAAGACCAAAAUGAUAGUGUCCAACAAAUAUUGAUUGAAUUAUUCUAACAAAUGUUAUAGAAAUGAUUCCAUAACAUGAGAUGGUCACUUUGAGGUUUCACAAAACAAUUUACAGCAGUAUAAGUUAGAACGCAAGAUACAUAGCAGAAAUUUAAACAAAGUCAAGAACUAAAAUUAAAAUAAGCUGUAAUAGGAUAUAGCCCAAAAUAAUACACAAUAACUAAAUUAUUAAUGUGGCCUAUAAACAGACAUAUAUUGUUUAAACUGUUAUUGCAAAGUGUAUUUAUACUGAAAAGAUUUAGAAGUUCUACAAUAUGCACGUUUUCAACAUUAUACUUAAAUUUAUUAUUAAUGCUGCUAAAGCUUUAAUUAAAAAGGAAAAAAAAUUGAAUGCAUUUUCAAUGAAUGACCGGGUUCACCAUGACUCGUCUGAACCCCUGUGUGGGCAGCAGCCAAUGGAGCAGACCGUGAAAACAACACACAUGGAAGCGGUAAAUUGUUUUUCAAUGUUAAUAUAUUUACAAUAAUUGCUGUUUAUAUUGACAUCCACAGACAUCAUGUUGCUACCAGAUGACUAUAUUGUAGAAGUAAAGAAAUAAAAUAAGAAACUUAUUACGGAAUGAUUUCAAACCAAUACUGUUUUUUUCAAAAUAUUUUUCAUAAUGUUACUAUACAGCUCAGUGUGGAACUGUUGGAGGCCAUUUUUGUCGAGGCAGUUCUGCUUGAUGGGGACAAAAUGAUCGGGUCAUUGGCACUAGUGUCCAAAAGAUGGAAGGCUAUUGUCUCUACUGAAGAGUUUCGGAGGAAAGCCUACUAUCGAUGGCUGAAAAGUAAGUAACCAUGUAGAGUAUCUUGGCUUAUCUACUUUUGUGUUCAUUUUUACUUUUACUUUACUUAUGUGUGUGUGGAGAUGGGGGGGGGGGAUCUUAAAAAUAUUUGAUAGUUGAGACAAGAGUCGUUUCCUUGUUUUACCCACAGACAUAUUAGUUAAUGUUGACAAUCAAAUAUUAAAUUAUGAAUUGAAAUGUAUACACGACCCCUCCUGGCAGGAAAGGGACACUGUGACUGAAGACCCCAUCAAUGAGGUAAAAUGUGGUGGUAUUAGUCUAAUUUAGAACCCGCAUUUUCAUGAGGUCAAAGGGGGAAUACACUGAUAUGGAUCCUUUAUAAGUUGGUGGAAAAUUGUUAAGGAUUGAAUAAGACUGACCUAACGUUCAUAGAUGUAGAUGUAAUCACAGAGAUUGACAGGCCGUGCAUAUGACCAGAACAGACUGACAGGUCGUUCAUUACAUUAGCUGACACUUUUAUCCAAAGCGACUAAGACUAAGUGCAUUUCAAACAUAAGGAUACAAACUCAACAUAAACAUAAAAGUGCGAUUUCAGGUGGCGGCGGUUCAUGUGACCGGCUGUUCGCAGCGUAGGACGCUGGCGAUAAUCAAAGAGGCAGGGCGACGCUAAAACAAUAAAGGGACAUAUGUAUCGACCGCGCAUGCUAAAUAACCCCUUUUUCUAGUGGUCGAGUGAACAGUUUGUCC